This 406-nucleotide ribosomal RNA is filed under the name uncultured bacterium. RNAcentral describes it as "bacterial SSU rRNA". It matches the Rfam family "Bacterial small subunit ribosomal RNA", at positions 29 to 419 of the family's 1533-position model. The record is from RNAcentral.
AACGAACGCUGGCGGCGCGCCUAACACAUGCAAGUCGAACGAGAAUCCGGGGCAACCCGGUAGUAAAGUGGCAAACGGGUGAGGAAUACAUGGGUAACCUACCCUUGAGAAGGGAAUAACCCGCCGAAAGGUGAGCUAAUACCCUAUACGCUAUCUUUUUUUCGAAAGGAAUAGGAAAGACCGGGUCGGAGGACCUGGUACUCAAGGAGGGGCGUCAUGUCCUAUCAGCUUGUUGGUGGGGUAACGGGCCUACCAAGGCUACGACGGGUAGCUGGUCGUGAGAGGAUGAUCAGCCACACUGGCACUGAGAUACGGGCCAGACUCCUACGGGAGGCAGCAGUGAGGAAUAUUGCGCAAUGGGCGAAAGCCUGACGCAGCGACGCCGCGUGGGGGAGUGAAGGUUUUC